Long non-coding RNA from Rosa rugosa (rugosa rose), 633 nucleotides. RefSeq lists it as uncharacterized. Lineage: Eukaryota; Viridiplantae; Streptophyta; Magnoliopsida; Rosales; Rosaceae. The record is from RefSeq and is a predicted model, not a curated record. The transcript is spliced from 5 exons.
AGCCAAGAGUGAGUGGAAUCAUGUUCAGUUUGAAUGAAAAUUUGAUUUGAGGAGUAAUCAGCCAUUGACUCUCCCUUUUGUGUUGCAUAUUCCUGAUCAUUGGUUCCAGAUCACUUUUUCUUUCGGUUUGCUCAGUUGUUCUUCUUCUACUUAAAAGGGAUAGUGGGCCGAGAAGUGACCGUGGAGCUCAAGAACGACCUUGCGAUUAGGGAAAUACACCCCCAACGACUAAUGGACAAAAUGGAGCAGCCACGUGCCCGAGAUCGACAACAGCGACAACCAAUGAGUUCUUCACAACGACAAACAUAUUUGGCACGACGACGUGCAAUAGCUCAAGGAAAGCGUCCAAUGGUGGAAACUAGCUCAAGCAACAUAACAAAACAAGCUGCAGGAAAGGUACGAAAUAGGUGCCCUCAACAAAAGAAAAAAUUCCAAAGAGACGAGGGCUUUAGGAGACGUGUUUCUGUGUUUUCAUCUGGUUGGCGGAUGGGACAAUCAGUAAAAAUGAACACCGCUUAUCUUAGUGAGCUAAUUUUGAAAGAGUGGAAGAAAAAGAAGCAUGCACAGUAUGUAAUCUUAAAAGUUGUAUUUUUUUUCCUUUUAGGUAUAAUAAUUUACUUAAUUGUCACCAUU